GGCUUUGUAGUGAAAUUUCAUGUCGGAUUGCAAAUUCGAAGAAGUAGAUUAGAUCUGCCGGGGCUU
Fukomys damarensis (Damara mole-rat) is the source of this 66-nucleotide non-coding RNA. The record is from Ensembl. NCBI's taxonomy places the organism in Eukaryota, Metazoa, Chordata, Mammalia, Rodentia, Bathyergidae.